UACCUAGGCUAGAAUGCGCGUGACCGGUCCAGAGAUGGACCUUUCCUUCGGGACACAAAGCAAGGUGCUGCAUGGCCGUCGUCAGCUCGUGCCGUGAGGUGUUGGGUUAAGUCCCGCAACGAGCGCAACCCCUAUCUUUAGUUGCCAGCAUGUUAUGAUGGGGACUCUAAAGAGACUGCCUGCGCAAGCAGUGAGGAAGGUGGGGAUGACGUCAGGUCAUCAUGGCCCUUACGCCUAGGGCUACACACGUGCUACAAUGGGCGGUACAGCGGGUUGCUACUUAGUGAUAAGAUGCCAAUCUCCAAAAGCCGCUCUCAGUUCGGAUCGAAGUCUGCAACUCGACUUCGUGAAGCUGGAAUCGCUAGUAAUCGCGUAUCAGCAAUGACGCGGUGAAUACGUUCCCGGGCCUUGUACACACCGCCCGUCAAGCCAUGGAAGUCAGGAGACCUGAAGACAGUGACCGUUAAAGGAGCUGUUUAGGGUAAAACUGGUAAC
This 495-nucleotide ribosomal RNA is filed under the name uncultured bacterium. RNAcentral's name for it is "bacterial SSU rRNA". It matches the Rfam family "Bacterial small subunit ribosomal RNA", at positions 972 to 1475 of the family's 1533-position model. The record is from RNAcentral.